AUACGGAGGAUCCGAGCGUUAUCCGGAUUUAUUGGGUUUAAAGGGUGCGCAGGCGGCCAUUUAAGUCAGCGGUUAAAUCGUGGGGCUCAACCCCAUUCUGCCGUUGAUACUGGGUGGCUUGAUUGCGGUCGAGGUUGGCGGAAUUCGUUGUGUAGCGGGUAAAUGCAUAGAUAUGACGAAGAACACCGAUUGCGUAGGCAGCUGACCAGAUCGCAAAUGACGCUCAUGCACGAAAGUGCGGGGAUCGAACAGGAUUAGAUACCCUGGUAGUCCGCACAGUAAACGAUGAAUACUUGUUUUCGGCGAUAUAAUGUCGGAGGCAAAGCGAAAGCAUUAAGUAUUCCACCUGGGGAGUACGCCGGCAACGGUGAAACUUAAAUGAAUUGGCGGGG
This 392-nucleotide ribosomal RNA is filed under the name uncultured bacterium. Its description in RNAcentral is "partial 16S ribosomal RNA". It matches the Rfam family "Bacterial small subunit ribosomal RNA", at positions 523 to 918 of the family's 1533-position model. The record is from RNAcentral.